RNA transcript from Syzygium oleosum, 4095 nucleotides. It is a transcript of the gene named anaphase-promoting complex subunit 4-like, with no coding region annotated. The record is from RefSeq and is a predicted model, not a curated record. NCBI's taxonomy places the organism in Eukaryota, Viridiplantae, Streptophyta, Magnoliopsida, Myrtales, Myrtaceae. The transcript is spliced from 7 exons.
GAACUUUCUUCCAUUGGAAUAACGAAGAUUAUAACAAAGUCCGGUGCUUUCGGAACCGAUCGGCAGACGAUCACGCACGUUCCAAAAGAAUUCACGAUCCAUUUUGGUACGGGGAAACGGAAGGUACGAAGUUAGAAACGAAACGGAGAAAUGAACGAAAUGGAAAGAGGAAUAGAGUCAGCGUUCGCCUUUCCGCAUUUGGUGGUGAUUAUAAGAUUUAACCUAUUAUUAAUUCAAAAGAUUCAUAUUCCAAUGCGAAACGAAACAUGUCCUUACUUCUUAAGAGAAGAUAACAGUACACUUGUUGGGAGCUUGAGAAAGCUGUGCGCUUUUUCACGAGAGAUGGUGGCUGCUGUUUCCGGCUGCUUGGCGGAGCUUUCUAGCGAUGGAGACCGACGAAGAAGGGUCGCCGGCGUGUGCUUCCGUUUCAGCUUCAAGUUCGACAAACCCCGCUUUCUUCCUGAUGGCCGGGUCGAUUCGAUUGUGUUCCAACUCGGUUUUGGUGAGGUUUUUGCUCGAUUUCUUCCGGUUGGCGGCGGGCGGGUGAAGAUGGCGUGAGCGGAAUCCGGCGAAGGAUUUGAUGGCCACGGUCGCACGGAGGACUCAGAAGGAAGGUGGGGGGUGCUUCCUCGCUUCAAUUUGCAAGAGGCUGUGGAGGAUCUCUCCUGGGUUCAUAUUCCAACGUGGAACGAAACGUGUCCUUAGAAGAAGUGGGAGCUCUCUAGCGAUGGGAGACCGACGAAGGAGGAUCGGCGGCGUGUGCUUUUCCGUUUCGGCUUCGAGCUCGACAAGCCCCGCUUGGCUUCUCAGGUGAAGAUGGCGUGAGUGGAAUUCCGGAGAAGGGUUUGCUGGCGAUGGUCAAACGGAGGACUCGAAGGAAGGUGGGUGCUUCGUCGCUUCAUUUGGCAAGAGGCUGUGGACAAUCUCUCCUGAGUCCUCGUCUGGUCGAGAGGGACGGAGGGAGGAAUUGGAGAAAGCAAAGAGACUAGGAGGGUAAAUGUAUAACAUCAUUAUGCUGGUGUCCUGAUGGCAAGGUUACUGUCUUGGGACUUGAAGACGGUACAGUUUUACUGCAUGAUGUCGAAGUAAGUUCUCUAUGUUGUUACUUGAACGUUACCCCCUCAUUACUUCUCAACUAGAAAUUCCUCCUGCUACAGUCCUUUAUCAUCAGAACGUGUUCUUCUCUAAUCUCUCUUGGGAAAGAUUCUGAAUUGCUCAAAAUCUGCAUGAUGCAAUGCAAACAGCAAACUUGCUCAGCGAACAUUCAGCUGCUAGGAAAUCGAUUUUUAUUGGUCAUGUCUGUCCAUGUCAAAUUAACAAUGGAUUGCUAGAUAGGUCAAUCUGAGCAGGAUAAGAUUAACAAAAAAUUUUAUUAGAAAACUCUAUUCGAACAUGACCCAUUUGUUAAAUAGGUCAACAAAUUACAAGAGAUGAAUAACCCGUUUAAGUAAUUAGAUCAAAUUGAAUGGGUCAUUGCAAUCCUAACAUGGCCGACACGGCAUGUGUACAAUAUGCAUAUCUCCAUCAAUGUCAAAUAAGUUUGAAAAGAAACUACCCAUAAGCUUACAAAAAUCCUAGGUUUACAUGAAAUGUUAUAUUUAUAUGGUGUCAUCAAAUUGUAAUUUGUAACCACUAUGGAAACAAAAUUCAUGUAUGAUUUAUUAUUAGAGAACUUACUGAACUAAAUAUAAAAAGGUCAUGAUAGGACAAGUUAAUCAAGUUGGCACUUUUGUUUAGUUAGAUAGAUUACAUUAUUCAAUUUGUGUUUCGUGGUUUGAACUUUGAACCCAGAAAAAUAUUCGUUUAUUAAUUGUGUUAACUGUUAAGUAGGUAGCCACAAUUUUGAUACGACAUGAUAAACACUUAGGGUCACCCUUAGUUAGCUCAUGGAAAUACGAGUCAUGAAUCAAAAAAUUAAGUCUAUGCAUUGUGGAUCAUGAAUUUCAUCCAAUGGAAUCAUAAAAAUCUGAUAUAAUGUUUGAGAUUGGUAUUCCAUGACAGAUGUAAACUAAUUGUUAGGUAAUAACUAAGAUGAAAAUACUUUAAAUUUGACUAAUGUUAUUAUUUCCAGACUGAGAUUUUGGUAGAAAUUACUUUUCUUUUGUCAAAUAAGUACCCAUUUGACUGCAAGGACACAAAUAUUGUCUACAUAGUAUUGUAAUUGGAUUCCCUUUCAUAGAAUUUAGUAUAAGACAAUCAAACCAUCCACUAAACCUGAUGCAGCCAACAAAAUCAUGCAAGAUGACUACCAAGUUUUUGGUGAAGAUUGACUUUGAAACUCAAACAAAGGAUCAGGAUUCUUCUUGAAGUUUAAUCACUAAAAUUAUCAACUAGGAUUUGAGUAUUAUUAGGAUUUUAUGAAGUUUCCUUUUUCUUUUAGAGUUUGAGUAGUAGGAUCUUAUGUAUACUCCAAUUAUGUUUCUUGUUUAGAGGUUUCCUAUUUCAACUAGGAGUAGAACUUUUAGAGAGUACAAAUAUAGUUUGAAUAUUUACUUUGCAUUAGAGUUGAUAAUUUAUUGAACUUGACAAGUGUUUGCUUUGCAGAUUGUGUGAUGCAAUUCCUCUUUGGUGUGAUGCUUAAGAAACUCUAGGUGUGAUGCUUAGGCAGUUUUGCUUGUGAUGCCUAAAUAUUUGUUCUUUAUUGUGGGACUCAUCUCCUACAUCGAACAGUGAAUCACUUUAAUCACAUAUCACACAGAAUUAAUAUACUCAUUCAAUAGAUUUAUAUAUUUUAGGAGUUGAAUCUGGUUGAUGUGCUCAAUUGCAUUCUUGUGUAGGACAAAAUAUUGAUGUCGCUGCUAGUGUUGUCAUCAAUGAUUGUAACUAUUUCAGUUGUCAACAACGAAUUACAGCAUAGUGUUUACUGGGAUCCAGCUCAUUGUGAGAAUCUAUGGUCAAGUGGAUGGCAUCAUAUAGAAGCAUUCAUCUGAGACAUGCUCAUUUUCAUCAAAAUUGAUAGCUUCUCUCAAUUAUUAGUAAAAUAUGUUCAGUUCAGUCAAAUUAGGAAGUAAUUAUUUAGGUGAGACUUAAAUGAUAGGAUUUGUAUGUGCAUCAAUUAUGCUUGUGGGUGGAAAAGUUUUUAAAUAACUGGUUAUGUUUUAUUAAGCUAUAGUUGCUUGGUCAUGAGUAGAAUGCCCGAGGCUGCUGCAAUUCUGUUUCUUUGAGAUUUCUACCAGUUUAUCGCUAAUCGUCCACUUCAUGGAUUACAUUUUACUGAGAAGAGAGAUUGCUUGUACAUAAUUAAUGUUAUCUUACCAAAGUAGCUGUCUUUGUGGAACUAUGUAUAUGAGGGUGCUGCUUUUAAUAUGCUAGUGCUUGCAGUAGUUAUGCACACUAUGGUAUAAUCAUUUUUAACAUGGUAUAAAUAUUAAGCAGAAUGGAAAACUGUUUAGAAGCUUAAAGUCCCAUGUGGCAACUGGGGUGUGUCUCAACUGGGAGGAGGAUGCCCAAGUGAAUAGAAACGCUUCUGGUAACUCUUUGGCGUUUGAAGAUCGCACUAUUCGAUAUUUCCCUCCAGCUCCAAGAGUUCCUCGCAUGCUUGGACUAGUACCCAGAGGUGCUGGUUUAACUGAUGAUGGUCCAGAUUCAUUUGUUGAGCUCUCAAAUUCUUCAAAGCAAUGUUCUAUAUCCUUUGUAGUGGAGAUAAAGAUGUUGUCGAGAAAGUUCUUUUUACUUCUUUCGCUUUUCCUAAAUGUGCUUCGCUUCCUUUUUCGCCAUAGGAGCAUCUGUAAUUGCCGAUCUAGCUCGAAUUGCGUUCGAUGGAGAAUUGGACGAAUAUAGAGGUAUGAAGCGCUUGGAAGUCUAAAUGAGAAGGUGACAUCGAAUUGAGGAGUUGGUCUUUUUACACAGAAACGAAGAGUGAAUGAUGGUGAUGCGAGUGGAGAUCUAGAGAACUAAGGAGUUGUUACCCUUUUCGGUACACCAGUCAAAGCGUCCAUGAAAUUAAAGAACAUGAAUUGGAGGGGACGUCCUUUAUGCUUGAUAGGUUUGAUAUGUCAGAUGCAGAAAUGCUUGAUGCACACUUGGGAGUUCGCAGGUUUAGCCCCUGCAGAAUACCAUCUAAAUGUUCAUCAGGCAUCUAAAAGGAUCUUCUUA